RNAcentral lists this unclassified non-coding RNA (314 nucleotides) under plant metagenome. RNAcentral describes it as "partial contains 5.8S ribosomal RNA, internal transcribed spacer 2, and large subunit ribosomal RNA". The stretch from base 1 to 105 matches the Rfam family "5.8S ribosomal RNA", at positions 50 to 154 of the family's 154-position model. The record is from RNAcentral.
GAAAUGCGAUAAUUAAUGUGAAUUGCAGAAUUCAGUGAAUCAUCGAGUCUUUGAACGCACAUUGCGCUCCCUGGUAUUCCGGGGGGCAUGCCUGUCCGAGCGUCAUUGCUGCCCUCAAGCACGGCUUGUGUGUUGGGCUUCCGUCCCUGGCAACGGGGACGGGCCCAAAAGGCAGUGGCGGCACCAUGUCUGGUCCUCGAGCGUAUGGGGCUUUGUCACCCGCUCCCGUAGGUCCAGCUGGCAGCUAGCCUCGCAACCAAUCUUUUUAACCAGGUUGACCUCGGAUCAGGUAGGGAUACCCGCUGAACUUAAGC